UGCAAUCGAUGAUGCUAUUUACCCAUAUCUUCUGAUUUAUUGUGAUUGUCAUUUAAGUUAUCACCAUCUUUCGACUGAGGUUGCA
Molecule: small nucleolar RNA, 85 nt
Organism: Ipomoea nil (Japanese morning glory)
Lineage: Eukaryota; Viridiplantae; Streptophyta; Magnoliopsida; Solanales; Convolvulaceae
Source: Rfam